UUCUGAUCCUUUUUGUUAUUUCCUAUUUUGCUAUCCCACAGAAUUUACAAAGCGGCAUCGAGCUCCUUUUAAAAAAUUGGCAACACGCUUUCCAGUUCGUCUGCAGUAGAAAAUCAGUUGAUCGUUCAAUCACGUGCAAUCAAAAUCGCGUUUUUCCGUUGAUUCCGUGUGAAUUGUGUGAUUAUAACGUGGUCAUUUGGCAAAUUUGUCCGUACACAUAAAGAUUUUCCUUGUGAUACACGUGGUUGAAACAAAGCAUUCAAGUCAAGGAGUUAAUCCCAGAAUUCCCAGAUCAUAUCGUACGUUGGCAAUUUGGUACAAGUGGUACUUGUAAGAAGCAAGAAGCCAAGUAGCAAGGCCAAUGUUACAUCUUAAUACAGCAACAAAAACGUUAAGCCUUUCAACUUUUCAAGUGUUAUGUGACUGUUGGAAGUUACGUUUGCUUAUGAAAGGUGCAUUGAUGAAGAAAAGGUACCUGGUGAAGUGAAUUCUAAUGUUCAGUAACUGUUAUAGCUACUCACAUCAAUUGACUGACACUGUUUGACCUGAAGUAGCAAGAAUUUCAUUUUCCAUUAUUAGCGGAUUCCAUGUGGAGUUCAGAGCUCUCACAAAAGAUCAAUCAUGCCUAAUCUCCUGCAACACAAGUAACAAGAUGAAAAACUUCUACAACUCUUUGUUGUGUGUAUUUUAGUAAAAUAACAAUUUCUGGAUUUUUCCUACAGAAUUCAUAAAUUCUUUUCGAAUCUUGAGGACCGUAAUGACUGCAACCAGUUUUUUGAAAAAACCAGCCCCAUAAAUUCAAACAGUUAUUUGCAGUUUUGGCCAAGACGCUCACUCGCCUUUUUCGAUGUCAGGCAAUGCGGAUUAAGAACUGGAUCCUGGCGAAUCGUCACUCAUACUUCACUUAUAUGAAAGCCUGGAAUCUUGGUGCGUACAAUGUGAUGCUUCAACUGGCGUCAGUCGAACAAAUCAACAGACGGACCUUAGUAGUUAAAAAUAAUUGCCCAUGAAAUAUCCGAUAAAGUACAUGACAUGGAGAGAAAAAAACGGACCAACUUCGAUCGACCAGAUUGCAAAUUGAACAGCCUAGCCCGACGUCCCAAGAAAAACUCUUUGGCUUGCAUCUGCCCAUUCGUUGGCCUCCAUUCGUUAAGUGAGUUCUCUUUGCCAGUUUAAACGAACGAACUCACUAUGCAUGGCUCCGUUGGGAAGAAAUGGUGACACAUCCGGACACGGAGAUCACCAUCACUGAAAUCUGGACACAUCGGGCGGUUAGUAGACGCACAAGUGAAGUAAAUCGCUAAAUCCAUCGGCGUGUAGUUAUCCCAUUCGACGUACCAAAAACAACCAGUUAAGUCCCAUCUCAAUGUGGAUUGUGUAAACGCAAUAUGAUGGAAACUAUGAAGUUGUGGCAACCAAUCGUCAAAGAGGAAUGAAGAUCUUUUUGGACUUUGGAAAAAGCCAAAAAAGUGCACCAAGUACGUCAAUCUCUACACCUCACCUCUCUCGACUCAAGGGUACACCAUAGACUUGGAUAUUGAGAGGGAAACCGAAAAGCUAUGACCAUGAAGGAAUCCGAAGAUCCCAAGGAUUGCUGGCCCGAAGAGAUGACGACGGAAUUGGAAUCAGCUGAGCAAGAGGUCAACGAUUUUACGACCGAUUGUGAUGGAUAAACCGCGACUACUACGAUUACUAAAGUCCAUCUAAAUCUCUGUCUGAAUCUUCAAUGGUGAAAUAGGAUUUCCUUGUUCUCGUUACCAAGGGCAUGUAAGGCAUGCCGAAGGAUCUUUUUCCUUUCUCCACGUGAUCGCUGCCGUAUCACGAAGAUGCUUCUUUGAGAGGGUCUCUACUAUAUUGCAAGACAAAAAUGUGAUGAGAUUAGGAAAUCUGAGAUGGUAAUAAUGUACUUGUAAGAUAAAUCAAGUAGGUAAGUAUAUUGCUUACAUUUUAGUCUACGGAUGUGUGCUAAAGAGUCGUACACUUGUAUGUUACUUUAGAAUGUUUAAAAUUAAAUUUAGGUGUUUUUUUAACAUGUUAACUGAUGCAGUGUUUAUUAAUUAUUUUACAAUUACUAUUGUAGAGUUCAACCUGCAGACCAGUUUGCAUGUCCUUCACGCUUGAAGCUCUGCUUGAAGGUUGCGGGGAAUAUUACGUGUAAAAUUGUCAAUGCUGUGGUGUAGAGGUUGGGUGAGAACUGAACGUGUUGCAUCAUUAUCAAGCAGACCCAUCCCCAGCAACGUCAACCUAAAGAAGGAAAGCCC
Molecule: long non-coding RNA, 2261 nt
Organism: Daphnia pulex (common water flea)
Lineage: Eukaryota; Metazoa; Arthropoda; Branchiopoda; Diplostraca; Daphniidae
Exons: 5
Source: RefSeq, a predicted model, not a curated record